RNAcentral lists this ribosomal RNA (804 nucleotides) under Triticum aestivum (bread wheat). RNAcentral describes it as "partial small subunit ribosomal RNA". The record is from RNAcentral. Lineage: Eukaryota; Viridiplantae; Streptophyta; Magnoliopsida; Poales; Poaceae.
CUGCCGGCAGCUGAGCUGCUGGAGCUGGCCGCGGAAGGAACUCCUCCUCUGCCGUGCAAGGACGUGCUGCAGUUUACGGACACCUGCGGCAUCCCCGAGAUCGAUCUAAACAAGGUGUCCCCGGAGUUUAACGUUAGAGGAUUAGGGCGGCCAAACAAGUGCAUUGACGUUAAAAAAGGCCUUCAAUUUGCUUCGGCUUCGAUUAUUUGUCUACAGGAAACAAAACUUCAGGAAGUCUCAACUUUCAAAGCAAUCUCUUUCCUUCCUCUCGGUCUUCGAUCUUAUCAUUUUCUGCCUUCUAUUGGUGCCUCUGGUGGGGUCCUAACUGCGUGGGAUGCAAAUCUUGAGUGCACUAAAGUUCAGAUUGAUCGCUUCGCUAUCUCUUGUUGGUUUUCCUUCCGUGCGAAUGACACUUCGUUCGUUGUGACAAAUGUAUAUGGACCUUGUGACCAUGCUACUAAAUCAGAUUUUCUAGACUCCCUCAUACCUCUGUCUCAAAUGAUUAACUGUCCUUGGACGAUUAUGGGGGACUUUAACCUUGUUUUAAGGCCGUCUGACAAAUCAUCGGCAAAUUUCAACACUAAUGAGGCCAGCAUUUUCGCUUCUGCAAUCAACUCCUUGCACCUUCAGGAAGUUCCUCUCCUGGAUAGGCUCUACACUUGGUCCAACCAACAGGACAACCCGAUCCUUGUUCGCUUAGACAGAACUUUUGUCAACUUAAAUUGGACCAAUCUGUUCCCUGACUCAACUCUCUCAUCCCUUGCGCGCACUACCUUUGACCACGUUCCCAUCCUUCUGACGGCU